GGGACGAACGCUGGCGGCGUGCUUAACACAUGCAAGUCGAGCGGAAAGGCCCUUCGGGGUAUUCGAGCGGCGAACGGGUGAGUAACACGUGAGUAACCUGCCCCAUGCUUUGGGAUAACCCUCGGAAGCGGGGGCUAAUACCGAAUAUUCACUGUCUGCCGCAUGGUGGAGGGUGGAAAGUUUUUCGGCGUGGGAUGGGCUCGCGGCCUAUCAGCUUGUUGGUGGGGUAAUGGCCUACCAAGGCGAGGACGGGUA
Molecule: ribosomal RNA, 255 nt
Filed under: uncultured bacterium
Lineage: Bacteria
Description: partial small subunit ribosomal RNA
Rfam family: Bacterial small subunit ribosomal RNA
Source: RNAcentral